Molecule: long non-coding RNA, 297 nt
Filed under: Fukomys damarensis (Damara mole-rat)
Lineage: Eukaryota; Metazoa; Chordata; Mammalia; Rodentia; Bathyergidae
Description: lncRNA (ENSFDAG00000025191.1)
Source: RNAcentral
CUCCUUUCCUCCCUCCCUCUCUGCUUCUCUCCCUGCCUUUCAGCUGCUGGGCUGCUCUCCGCCUCUGUGCUCUCCCGCUGGCAGUGCUGGCUGGUGGAGCGCAGGGCCAGGGCUGGCUCUCACAGAGUCCCUGGUCUUCUCUAGCCUGGGCUACAGAGAGAGAGGCUCGUGUGCCAACCAGAGCCCUGCCGUGCCCUGCCAGCUCCCCUCUCUCCACCAUGCCUCUGCUGGACAUUUUUUGGGCUUGCUUCAGGAAAGUAAAGUGCUUCCCGUUGCGGCAAGUGAGGAAGAAUGCUG